GACAGUUUGGCCGUGUGGUUUAAGGCGCCAAAUUUAGGCUCUGGUCCGGAAGGGCGUGGGUUCAAAUCCCACAGCUGUCA
Molecule: transfer RNA, 80 nt
Organism: Macleaya cordata
Lineage: Eukaryota; Viridiplantae; Streptophyta; Magnoliopsida; Ranunculales; Papaveraceae
Rfam family: tRNA
About the family: Transfer RNA (tRNA) molecules are approximately 80 nucleotides in length. Their secondary structure includes four short double-helical elements and three loops (D, anti-codon, and T loops).
Source: Rfam